UGGGGAAUAUUGGGCAAUGGGCGAAAGCCUGACCCAGCAACGCCGCGUGAGUGAUGAAGGCCUUCGGGUUGUAAAACUCUUUGGACAGGGACGAAGAAAGUGACGGUACCUGUAGAACAAGCCACGGCUAACUCCGUGCCAGCAGCCGCUGUAAUACGGAAGGUCCAGGCGUUAUCCGGAUUUAUUGGGUUUAAAGGGAGCGUAGACUGUUUGUUAAGCGUGUUGUGAAAUGUAAGAGCUCAACUUUUAGAUUGCAGCGCGAACUGGCUGACUUGAGUGCGCACAACGUAGGCGGAAUUCAUGGUGUAGCGGUGAAAUGCUUAGAUAUCAUGACGAACUCCGAUUGCGAAGGCAGCUUACGGGGGCGCAACUGACGCUAAAGCUCGAAGGUGCGGGUAUCGAACAGG
Molecule: ribosomal RNA, 407 nt
Filed under: Verrucomicrobiota bacterium
Lineage: Bacteria; Pseudomonadati; Verrucomicrobiota
Description: Verrucomicrobia bacterium partial 16S ribosomal RNA
Rfam family: Bacterial small subunit ribosomal RNA
Source: RNAcentral